This 443-nucleotide ribosomal RNA is filed under the name uncultured bacterium. RNAcentral describes it as "partial 16S ribosomal RNA". It matches the Rfam family "Bacterial small subunit ribosomal RNA", at positions 338 to 795 of the family's 1533-position model. The record is from RNAcentral.
CCUACGGGUGGCAGCAGUGGGGGAUAUUGGGCAAUGGGCGCAAGCCUGAUCCAGCAACGCCGCGUGAAGGAAGAAGGCUUUCGGGUUGUAAACCUCUUUUGUCAGGGACGAAAGAAGUGACGGUACCUGACGAAGAAGCCACGGCUAACUACGUGCCAGCAGCCGCGGUAAUACGUAGGGGGCAAGCGUUAUCCGGAUUUACUGGGUGUAAAGGGCGUGUAGGCGGGACUGCAAGUCAGAUGUGAAAGCCGCGGGCUCAACCUGUGGCCUGCAUUUGAAACUGUGGUACUUGAGUGCUGGAGAGGCAGGCGGAAUUCCUAGUGUAGCGGUGAAAUGCGUAGAUAUUAGGAGGAACACCAGUGGCGAAGGCGGUCUGCUGGACAGCAACUGACGCUGAGGCGCGAAAGCGUGGGGAGCAAACAGGAUUAGAUACCCUAGUAGUC